CUGGUACUAGACGUCUAGACAAGAAACUGGGAGUCGCAGCCCAUGAUGAUUUGCACGGCGCGAUGGCGUGAGCGGCGAGUCGUCGCGAUCAAUCGGAGGAAGGAAAAGCAGCGGAGCGAGCUGGGGAGGCAGGGCGCCGUCGAUCAUAAGAGAGAGGGCCGGAUCCACCCACACCACCAACCCACAGCCACCUACCCCUUUGGAACCGAAGAGCCCACGCGCCGCACCGAGCGGCGAGGCGUGCGACGCGACCGGGCGCCGGCCGGCGGAGGGGGGAUGUGCGAGGGGCGGCGGCCGGCGUGGGCGGCGGGCUGGGAGCUGCGGCGGAGGGAGGCGGCGGCGGACGCGCAGCUGGCGGCGGCGCGGGCACGGCUCGCGGAGGCGCUGGCGGAGCUGGAGCGGGCGCGGGCGCGCGCCGCCGAGCUGCAGCGCCGGCUAGAGCAGACCUACGGCAAGCGCCGCCGGCUCGUCGAGGAGGCGCGCGGCCGGAUCCACGAGAUCCGCGCGCAGCCGACGGCGUCCCCGCCGCCACCCCACGCGGACCCCGAGGCCGAGCCCGAUCGCUCCGCCGCCACUUCCUCCUCGUCUUCUUAGGUGCGUGCGUCCCUUCAUCCGAUCGAGUCUGCUAUCCGGUUCCUCGAUGCUGCCUUGUUGAUCAAACGCUGCCGAUUGCUGGCGGGCAAGGUGUUGCCGAUGAUGCCUGUCGCUGCUGCUUUUCAUUUCCAUUUCGCAUUGGGAGCUGCAACGAGCUAGUUAGGCUAUGUAUGUAAUAUACUAGUGUCAGUGAUCUGCAGAGCAUUAGAAACUUGCUCAGUGACUGAAUCGGAUUGGGAGUCAGUGGUAGAAACAUUCUAAUGCUACAAGAAAUUAAUCUCUGGCCAUCGUUGACCAUCUCCUCUCUCAUUUUUUUAACUAAUGCUCACUUGUCAGUUCCUGUUCU
Panicum hallii is the source of this 940-nucleotide RNA transcript. RefSeq lists it as uncharacterized. The transcript has 2 exons. NCBI's taxonomy places the organism in Eukaryota, Viridiplantae, Streptophyta, Magnoliopsida, Poales, Poaceae. The record is from RefSeq and is a predicted model, not a curated record.